This 505-nucleotide ribosomal RNA is filed under the name uncultured bacterium. Its description in RNAcentral is "partial 16S ribosomal RNA". It matches the Rfam family "Bacterial small subunit ribosomal RNA", at positions 28 to 507 of the family's 1533-position model. The record is from RNAcentral.
GACGAACGCUGGCGGCGUGCCUAAUACAUGCAAGUAGAACGCACAGUUUAUACCGUAGCUUGCUCCACCAUAGACUGUGAGUUGCGAACGGGUGAGUAACGCGUAGGUAACCUGCCUGGUAGCGGGGGAUAACUAUUGGAAACGAUAGCUAAUACCGCAUAAUAUUAAUUAUUGCAUGAUAAUUAAUUGAAAGGUGCAAUUGCACCACUACCAGAUGGACCUGCGUUGUAUUAGCUAGUAGGUGAGGUAACGGCUCACCUAGGCGACGAUACAUAGCCGACCAGAGAGGGUGAUCGGCCACACUGGGACUGAGACACGGCCCAGACUCCUACGGGAGGCAGCAGUAGGGAAUCUUCGGCAAUGGACGAAAGUCUGACCGAGCAACGCCGCGUGAGUGAAGAAGGUUUUCGGAUCGUAAAGCUCUGUUGUAAGAGAAGAACGGGUGUGAGAGUGGAAAGUUCACACUGUGACGGUAUCUUACCAGAAAGGGACGGCUAACUACGUG